GGUUAAGCGACUAAGCGUACACGGUGGAUGCCCUGGCAGUCAGAGGCGAUGAAGGACGUGCUAAUCUGCGAUAAGCGUCGGUAAGGUGAUAUGAACCGUUAUAACCGGCGAUUUCCGAAUGGGGAAACCCAGUGUGAUUCGUCACACUAUCAUUAACUGAAUCCAUAGGUUAAUGAGGCGAACCGGGGGAACUGAAACAUCUAAGUACCCCGAGGAAAAGAAAUCAACCGAGAUUCCCCCAGUAGCGGCGAGCGAACGGGGAGCAGCCCAGAGCCUGAAUCAGUGUGUGUGUUAGUGGAAGCGUCUGGAAAGGCGCGCGAUACAGGGUGACAGCCCCGUACACAAAAAUGCACAUAUUGUGAGCUCGAUGAGUAGGGCGGGACACGUGGUAUCCUGUCUGAAUAUGGGGGGACCAUCCUCCAAGGCUAAAUACUCCUGACUGACCGAUAGUGAACCAGUACCGUGAGGGAAAGGCGAAAAGAACCCCGGCGAGGGGAGUGAAAAAGAACCUGAAACCGUGUACGUACAAGCAGUGGGAGCCUCUUUAUGGGGUGACUGCGUACCUUUUGUAUAAUGGGUCAGCGACUUAUAUUCUGUAGCAAGGUUAACCGAAUAGGGGAGCCGAAGGGAAACCGAGUCUUAACUGGGCGUUAAGUUGCAGGGUAUAGACCCGAAACCCGGUGAUCUAGCCAUGGGCAGGUUGAAGGUUGGGUAACACUAACUGGAGGACCGAACCGACUAAUGUUGAAAAAUUAGCGGAUGACUUGUGGCUGGGGGUGAAAGGCCAAUCAAACCGGGAGAUAGCUGGUUCUCCCCGAAAGCUAUUUAGGUAGCGCCUCGUGAAUUCAUCUCCGGGGGUAGAGCACUGUUUCGGCAAGGGGGUCAUCCCGACUUACCAACCCGAUGCAAACUGCGAAUACCGGAGAAUGUUAUCACGGGAGACACACGGCGGGUGCUAACGUCCGUCGUGAAGAGGGAAACAACCCAGACCGCCAGCUAAGGUCCCAAAGUCAUGGUUAAGUGGGAAACGAUGUGGGAAGGCCCAGACAGCCAGGAUGUUGGCUUAGAAGCAGCCAUCAUUUAAAGAAAGCGUAAUAGCUCACUGGUCGAGUCGGCCUGCGCGGAAGAUGUAACGGGGCUAAACCAUG
RNAcentral lists this ribosomal RNA (1148 nucleotides) under Escherichia coli. RNAcentral describes it as "partial 23S ribosomal RNA". It matches the Rfam family "Bacterial large subunit ribosomal RNA", at positions 1 to 1191 of the family's 2925-position model. The record is from RNAcentral. Lineage: Bacteria; Pseudomonadati; Pseudomonadota; Gammaproteobacteria; Enterobacterales; Enterobacteriaceae.